AUCGAUGAAGAACGCAGCGAAACGCGAUAAGUAAUGUGAAUUGCAGAUUUUCAGUGAAUCAUCGAAUCUUUGAACGCACCUUGCGCCCCUUGGUAUUCCGAGGGGCAUGCCUGUUUGAGUGUCAUUUUAUCAUCAACUCAUUAGUCUUUGAUUAGGCUUUUGGGCUUGGACUUGGGAAUUGCUGGCUUGAUCUUUUUACCCAUUGAACAGUAUCUAAUACUUAAUAGAGGGAAAAAAAGUGUAGUCGGCUGUCCUUAAAUGCAUUAGCGAGUGUUAGUCUACAUGGCACGGCCUCUUGACGUGAUAAUGAUCGUCGUGGGCUGGAAGUGUAGUGUCUGGCUUCUAAAACCCGAUUGCGUGCAUACGGCCCAUAAAGCUGGAAGCGUAGUCAAAAUGACAAGUUUGACCUCAAAUCAGGUAGGACUACCCGCUGAACUUAAGCAUAUCAAUAAGCGGAGGAAAAGAAACUAACAAGGAUUCCCCUAGUAACUGCGAGUGAAGAGGGAAAAGCUCAAAUUUUGAAUCUGGCGGUCAUCUAGGCCGUCCGAAUUGUAAUCUAGAGAAGUGUCUUCCGCGCUGGCCCGUGUACAAGUCUCCUGGAAGGGAGCAUCAUAGAGGGUGUGAAUCCCGUCUUUGACAUGGACUACCAGUGCACUGUGGUGCGCUCUCAAAGAGUCGAGUUGUUUGGGAAUGCAGCUCAAAAUGGGUGGUAAAUGCCAUCUAAAGCUAAAUAUUGGCGAGAGACCGAUAGCGAACACGUACCGUGAGGGAAAGAUGAAAAGAGCUUUGGAAAGAGAGUUAAACAGUACGUGAAAUUGCUGAAAGGGAAACGCUUGAAGUCAGUCACGUUGGCUAGAAAUCAGCCUUGCUUUUGCUUGGUGUACUUUCUGGUUUGACGGGUCAGCAUCGAUUUCUUUGACCAUUGGAUAAAGUCUCUGGGAAUGUGGCAUCUUUGGAUGUGUUAUAGCCCAUUGUCGCAUACAAUGGUUGGGAUCGAGGAACUCAGCAUGCCGCAAGGCCGGGUUUAAACCACGUUCAUGCUUAGGAUGCUGGCAUAAUGGCUUUAAUCGACCCGUCUUGAAACACGG
RNAcentral lists this ribosomal RNA (1088 nucleotides) under uncultured Basidiomycota. Its description in RNAcentral is "eukaryotic LSU rRNA". The stretch from base 404 to 1088 matches the Rfam family "Eukaryotic large subunit ribosomal RNA", at positions 1 to 664 of the family's 3401-position model. Lineage: Eukaryota; Fungi; Basidiomycota. The record is from RNAcentral.